GGGCUGCAAGCAGUAGGGGGCGAGCCUUCGCCCGGCUGAGGGGCCGGGUACUGCGUGCCCGGAAAGGUGGUCCGGGCCUCGAAGAGAGCUUUCGGAGGGAGGGCCGUCGGGCCAGCCGCUGUGUUCGGCUUCUUACUCAAUAAUAAUAAUUAACAAGUCUACACUUCCACGUUCUCUUGCUCGUGUAGUGCCAGGCACUGUUAGAGACUUUGAAUAAUAAUGCAAGUACUUAUUGUAAACAUGAUGUUUAUGGUGACUGAUACGUGCUAGGCACUAUGACAGAUCGUAAAUGAUAAUUAUAAAUAUAAUAAACUACCAAAUUAUUAUUUACUUAUUUUUUUGCCACUCUGGUGAUGCUUUCAAUAACAACAAACAACUGUCAUAAAUAAAAGCUGCUCCACAUUAAAUCUUUGCCAUGCAACCAGCACCGUCCUGGAUCCUUCGCUAAUAGACACCAUUUAUUCAUGCAACAAAGGCUACAGAAUACAAUGAUGAGAAAAAUUUACCUUAUUCCACCUUCCUGCUAGAAUCGAGUGAAGAGACAUCCUUUGAAUACUGAGGCUGGCUUGCUAGAGCAGCAAUUCAUUCCCUCACCACAGUGAGGACGGCACUGUGCAGUCUCCUCCCGUUGUUUACUUUUCAAGAGUCAGACAGCAAUCUCAUCAUCAUUCCUUCAGGCCCUCUGCCAUGCUGCCCUGCUUUGGAGCUAGCUGACAAUGGACUGAAAUCUCUACAAACUCACGUAGCAAGGGCUUACGGCACAGCAGGGACUCAACAGAUGUAAGAGCGAGUGAAGAAAUGAAGGAACGAAUGCAUGAAUAAAGAUCCAGGAUCACCAGUGGUGGAAGUUUCAGGACAAACUUGUGCAUAGGAUUUGUAAAAACCCUUGGAAGACCCAGCAGCUCAAACCCACCCUGGAUGGCGGAUGGGGCAGUCAAAGUCAGAAGUUCCUGACCAUUUUCCAAAAAGGGUUUGGAGGCCCCUCCAGAAUUAGGCAGAAGGACAUGGGAAGGGCUUUCUCCUCUGCUGAGGGUCUCAGGAACCUAGGUGUCUGUUGCAAGUUUGCACAGCAGGGGGAAAAGAUGAAGAGUUUGCCCCUCCUUGCCCAGGAGAAAGAUCUUCCUAUCGCGCCGAAUUCCCUCAGUUCUUUAUUCCUGUGAGCAACCAGGGGAUGGAUUCCUGGUCCCCAUCUCUGUGCCUGGUGCAUAAAAAGUGCUCAAUAAAUGUUUGAUGAAUGAAUGAAAUAAUGUAAUUAAGAAUUGAAGAGGGUGGGGUAGAGGGAGAGAGUCUUUUCAAUCCUUAGGAGUUGUCCUCAAGCACCAAGAAGGCCAUAUUUGCAUACAAAUAAUUGAUAUUCUAAUUACAAAUCAUUCGUAUUGCUUUAUUAAGCAGAUCCCCAAAGGAUCUGUAGAAGAUAGAUUCCAUGCUCCUUAGGGGUAAGGACAGCAUAUUUACCUCCUUGUUCCCCGACGGCAAUGG
RNAcentral lists this long non-coding RNA (1479 nucleotides) under Heterocephalus glaber (naked mole-rat). RNAcentral describes it as "lncRNA (ENSHGLG00100042755.1)". The record is from RNAcentral. Lineage: Eukaryota; Metazoa; Chordata; Mammalia; Rodentia; Bathyergidae.